Long non-coding RNA from Eucalyptus grandis, 1300 nucleotides. RefSeq lists it as uncharacterized. The transcript is spliced from 3 exons. NCBI's taxonomy places the organism in Eukaryota, Viridiplantae, Streptophyta, Magnoliopsida, Myrtales, Myrtaceae. The record is from RefSeq and is a predicted model, not a curated record.
CAAUAAUAAGCUCAGUGGUUCUAUCCCAUUUUCUCUUGGUGACUUGGAACAUCUGCUAAAGCUGAAUCUUAGCAGAAAUCACUUGACAGGAUUUAUUCCUGCUGAGUUUGGCAAUCUGAGAAGCAUCAUGGAUAUGUGUAAAACCUAUUAUCUUAGUUGCCAUAAUUUCCUUUUGAAGACUGAGAAAUUCCGGAGUCUCUAAUUUAAGCCUCUAUGUUGCAGAGAUCUUUCAAAUAAUCAUCUAUCAGGCUUGAUCCCUGAAGAACUUAGUAAACUUCAAAGCAUAUUCUCAUUAUACGCAUUCACUCCCUUUGAUAGGCCUUUGAUGGUUUUCAUAAUAUUCCUAAACUGGGAUAUAUUAUCCCUUUGAUAGGCCUUUGAUGGUUUUCAUAAUAUUCCUAAACUGGGAUAUAUUUGGUGCUUGAGAUUGUUAUUCACAAAUUCUUCGUUGUUUGAGCUUAUUCAUUUGUCCCAUACUUCUACAUACAUAAUGGGGACCAUUGGCUACAUAGACCCAUAAUAUGCCCGCACUUCUCGCCUCACAGAGAAGUCAGAUGUCUACAGCUAUGGAAUUGUUUUACUGGAGUUGCUGACUGGCAGGAAAGCAGUGGACAAUGAAUCCAAUCUCCCAUCACCUGAUCUUAUCCAAAACUGCAAGCGAUUCGGUAAUGGAAACGGUUGAUCCCGAUGUCACUGCCCCAUGUAAAGAUCUCAGAGCGUUGAAGAAGGUUUUCCAACUUGCUCUCUUGUGCACUAAGAGGCAACCAUCGGAACGUCCUACCAUGCAUGAAGUGGCUAGAGUCCUCGGAAGCCUAUUGCUGUCCACAAUCCCACUGAAGCAGUUAUCUGCGGUAGGGUCCGCUUUGCUUCCGAGCACAAAGAUCGCUAGUUACAUGGACAAGUAUGCAAAUUUGAAGACUCUGCACUUGGUAAAUUGCUCAGCCAUGAGCACCUCGGAUGCCCAACUCUUCCGUGAAUUUGGUGAGGUGAUCUCUCAUAACAGCAACCUGGACCUUGAAAAGUCGGCUUAAGUAAGGAUGGGUAGGCUUUUAGGUGGGAUGGAGGCAAAGAGGGAAAAUGUAUAUAUGUGGAACUCGACUCUCUCUUGUUAGCAAGCUAGUUUUUGUACUUAUCUAGUUAGUAUCAGCUUUCUAGCUGAAGUGAAAAGGUUGAACAAACUCACUGAUACUGAUAGGUCAAAUGGGGUUGUGCCCCGAUUCUUACCAUAAGCGUUGCGCUGUGUUGAAGUACAUGAUACUAAUUUUUUCACAUAGAUGUAAUCAAUUGUCGAGUACUCUUA